CAUUCCCCGAGCAUCUGUUCCAGACGUGAUGCCAAGGUUUUGUGUAUACAAGCUGAGGAAAUCCCAUCUUAGAGGCACUCAAGACGCAAGAGCUAGAUACAAGAGCAAUUCUUCAAAAACCAUCUCCUUGCUGAAGGAUGGAUGUAAUUUCAACGAGGCCCAUGCAGAUAUAGCAAAUCAGUAUUUGGAAGUCUUGCAUAUUUCUAUGAACAAUUCGUUAGUUUAGGCUUUUCACUUGUGUUUUUUAUGUUCUGUUUUCCCCAUGCAUCCAAAAAGGGGGAAAAACCAAAAUUGAUACCUAUAAGCUUUUCAUUAUGGCUUAAUAUAUCUAUAAUACUAGUAUGACACAAUCUGUACAAGAAUUCCUCGA
Molecule: long non-coding RNA, 370 nt
Organism: Neltuma alba
Lineage: Eukaryota; Viridiplantae; Streptophyta; Magnoliopsida; Fabales; Fabaceae
Exons: 2
Source: RefSeq, a predicted model, not a curated record